RNAcentral lists this long non-coding RNA (830 nucleotides) under Triticum aestivum (bread wheat). Its description in RNAcentral is "long non-coding RNA (TAES_LNC021426)". Lineage: Eukaryota; Viridiplantae; Streptophyta; Magnoliopsida; Poales; Poaceae. The record is from RNAcentral.
UGGAAGAAAGAUGCUUUGCAGAUCAAGGAAAAGGGACGAUCUGAUUCCAGUGUUAGUAUAUGUUCGUGCCGCUGCUGAAUAUUCAUACCGUCCGGGUUUCCUUGCUUGCUGAAUAUGCGUACUGUCCGGGUUUCUUCUGCUUGCUGAACAUGCAUACUGUCCGGGUUUCCUCUGCUUGCUGAACAUGCAUACUGUCUGGGUUUCCUCUGCUUUUUCAAGACGCACUAUAUAUACUGCGCACCAUUUUCUGUUUGUGCCACCUCCAGUAGGGUGUUGUUACUGAGCAGAUUUUCGGUUGUUACUGCCUGUGUUUGCUACUCUCCUACUGUUCCUGUCAUUGUGUGCAUUUGCUUGUCAAGUGUGAUAAUAUUUCCUACGAUUUGUGGUUUUUAUAAGACUGAAAGUGAGUGUGUUUUCGUAUUCAAGCUACUUUUUCGCAUUACUUCUUUGAACUGUGUGCUGCUAAUUUUGUGUGCGCUUGUUGUGAACCUAUUUCAGCUGUGGCUGUUAAAUAAAAGAUUUGAUUUGUGAUUCAUACUCAAUGGUCAGGUAUUCAUUUCUAUCUGCACGUCUGUUUUAUUGCUAGGCUUGCUCUGUUCCAUGUAUCUAUUUUGGACAUUUGUGAGUGCUGUUUAUUUCUGGGCUUGCGGUCCUUAUUUUCUUCAGCGAUACACUGAUGCGAUGUUUUGAAAGGCUGCUACAGCAUGUUUAUGUAUGUCCUUAAGUUUUUAAAAUAUUCAAAAGCACACGGAGGAGGCAAUUGAUGAGGCCAUGUAACAAGCAGUUUCCAGGGAUUGACGAACUCAAGUAACAAUCUGUGACCAAAAUAC